UUACUGUUCUCAACCCUAUGCUGUUUGGCUCAAUUUGGACAAUCGAUUUUCUCAAAGCUAUCACCCGCAUCUAUAUUGCUUCCAACGUGAUUUGGUUAAUCUCAAAUAGAACACCAUGUCUAUUACACUGUAUUACAAUACUAUCAAAGGAUUGUGGGAUGAACUCCCCCCGCUUACCAAUCCUAGAUCCUGUAAAUAUGGUGCUCAUAAAAAGGCAGAAGAGACAGUCAACUCCGAAAUGCUCUUUCAACUUCUCAUGGGCCUUAAUGAUUCCUUCUUCAACAUCCGUUGCCAAAUCCUCUCUAUGGAUCCUCUUCCCAUUAUUGCCAGAUCUUUUGCCACUAUACAUCAAGAAGAAACGUAACGCCUCCCGCAAAUGCCUUUACUGCCCACUCUCGACAUUUGUCAUGGAUAUUGCUAGUGCUCAUUCUCCGACCACUCAUGGCUUCCGUCUUUGCAAUGGUAAGAAGUGCACCAAAUGCAGGAAAGACUGUCUUGGUCAUUAGAACACCAAUAAAUCCAAUUAGCCUCUACACUCACAUAUCUCGGCCAGUACCCAGUCACCCGCAGCGAAUAUGGUAUCUGCCACUCAAGCUUCUCCCAUCUCGACUGUAAUCCCUGGCAUCUCUAAUGAGCGCUGCCAACAAUUGAUGGAACUCCAUGCCAACGCCUUCUCCACUUUCUUUGGUAUUCACUUCUGUGUCUCAUUCUGAUGUACAGCAGAGGAUCCAGUAUCCAGCCGGCACGGCCGCUUGUGCUGACUCUCUCAGGAUUUACAGGUUAGUAAACCGCUCGUCGCUCGAGCCGCCGGUGAGCGAUUUGCCCAAUUUUAUUUAUUUAUUUAUUUUUUAAAUAAUGGGCCUUUAGUUUUAGGCCAUUUUUUUUAGGAUUUUAAACAUUUGUCUGGUCUGUAUGACUAUACGUAUAUAACUGUUACCCCAAUUGAAUUCCAAAUGCAAAACACGGCAAUUGCAAAGCAAACCCUAUCUCUUGUAUCUCCUCCCUACAGUCCCGCCUUAGCCAACUGUGGUCCAACCGUGAUUGUCAACCUUUAGUGACUGUGAGCCUCCGUCGAACCCUCCGUUGAACCGCCACUGUUUGCCGCUGGCGUCUGUGACACGGUGACUUUGUAGACAAACAUUAGAUUAUUCAGCAGUUGAACGUUUACAAUGCUUUCGUCCAUGGUGACCUUGAUGAAGAAGUAUAUAUGCAACUCCACCAAGAUAUCAAGAUAUUGUUGUUAAGGGAGAGAUGCGUGUAUGUCGUAUCCACAAAUCUCUAUGUGGCCUUAAACAAACCUCUCACCAAUGUUACUUGAAACCAUCUUAUGGUCCUCACUCUUGCAGGUUCUGGCCAAUCCUUAGCUGAUCAUAGUCUUGUCAUCAAAAUCUAGAGCAAGGUAUUUAUUAUCAUCCUUAUCUAUGUUGACAUUUUGGUUUCUGGGAAUGACCUAUCUGCCAUCAAUUCCAUCAAACAACACUUGUAAAGGCCUUCAAGAUUAAAGACCUUGCUGACCUCAAGUAUUUUCUUGGGAUUGAGGUUGCUAGGUUUCCUACCGACAACUUUUUUAUUGGGCAGUCUCUUUGAUUCUGGUCAACUAGGCUAUCAUUUUGCAUACUUUCCCAUGGAAUAACACUGUAAACUUAAUAACUUGGAUGGUGACUUCAUGGAAGGAAGAUCCCAGCUCAUAUCGACGAUUAGUUAGGGUUUGAUCUAUUUAACCAUUUUCCAGCCACAUAUAACCUUUGUUGUCAAUAUUUUAAGUCAGUUCGUGCAUGCUCCUUAUGAGCCUCAUCAUCUAGCUGCUCUUUGUAUGCUUUGCUAUUUGAAGACCACUUCUGGUUAUGGUCUUCUCUUUUUAUCUAAAUGCAGUUGUCUUGGCGCUCAUAGAAGAAAGCUACUAUCCCUGCUCUUCGGAUGAAGCUGAAAAGUGUGCGAUGGACGCUACCACUUGGGAACUUUUUUAGGUUCCUCUUCUCUUGCAAGCUCUCAUGGUUCUCCAUCGUUAGCCUAUCUUCUUCAAUGUAUCAACCAGACAGCCAUUCACAUAGCUCGAAAUCCAUCUUUUCAUGAACAAACCAUACAUGGAAUUCUAUUGUCAUCUCGUCUUACGAGAAGAUUCAUUAUGGUCCACUUACUCCUUAUAUCUCAACCUCUGAAAGACAAGCGGAUAUUUUUACUAAACCCUUGGGACAUGAAUUGUUUUACCUUUUCCACUCCAAUUUGGGCAUUAUGGACCUUCAUAUUCCAACUUGAAAGAGUGUAUCACGAGUCACAUGCCUAAACUCUAGCACAAGAUUAGCACAAAUCACGUUCACUGCACGAAUUAAGCAAACUUUCUCCAUGGACAGUUUAAUUUCCUUACGUGCUUUACUUACCAUGUGUUGCUCAAAGUUUCUAUCUACAAAUGUGUACACAAUCCUCGUCAAUCUUACACUGGUGAAUAAUGAAAUAAUGCAUUUCCUCUGCAUUUCUCUGAAUCAAUUUUAAUAUUAAUAAGGGGCAAUGCUAUUGAAUAUGUUCAUUUGAGAGUCAAGGUGGGACUGUGGACAUUAGUCAUGAGUGAAAAGCGCCCUCUGUGAGAGAUGAUUUGAUUUAUGUGUUUUUUGUGUCUAAGGUUCAUGCUUUGUUCCUUAAACUAAGCAUAACUAAGGUUAAAAAACUUGUGAGAAAUUAGCUGUUUUCCUAUCCAAAUUUGUAUUAUCAAGGACAUACUCCUCUUUGAUAUAUCUUAAACUUUAAAAUAAUGUUGUUUAAAAUGGUACUAUGUCAUGUAAAUGUCUUAAGUUGAAGUAUUUAGGCACCCAUGAAAUUUGCGCGUGCGUGCAUGCCUCGUACAUUCGACAAGAUACUCAUUCCAGCUUGCACUUGAUUGGAUUGGUUAAAAAAUCCUUUGGUCUACUGUUCAUUCAGAUAUCAUCUCUCACAGUACCAUUGGUUGUUUCUAAUUCUUAAACAACACAUAGACCUACUGAAGUUUCAAACUUGACCAUCUCACAGCAAUAAAUGGAAUGUGAAAUCUCUAUGUAAGAAUCUUCAAGUAGUAUUCAACAUCUACGACUACACAUUAAUUUAUGAUACCUAAUAGCUUAAAUGGCUGAGGAUUAUAUAUUCUAACGUUCCAAAGUGGCACUAAGAAGUUCUUCAUACUUGUACACACAUAAAUAAAGUCCCUAUAAUUCUUGUUGGCACCUGAAAUAAUAAAGUAGAAACAAUAAAGUCAUACUAUUGAGCUCCGUAUUGGGUACCAAAGGCGCAUUCAAUCAUAAUGCUGAGUUCUUUAUCAGGUACCCAACAAGCAUUCUAUGUAUAAAAUGUAUUAGAUUUUGAUUUCUUUUUCCCCUAGUUUAAUUAGUUGAAAACAUGGUUUCUUCUCGUUUUGUUCUUCUGCAUGAUGCAAUAAAUUUGUUGUUCGUGUUUAUACUGUAUCUACUUCAAUUAUAACAAGGAAAUAAAGAUGAAUAAGACUUCGACAUCGAAUUAAUGCAGUCAAUUUGAAAUAGUACCGUAUGAGUUCAAAUAUUGCAAACAAGAUUGUCGCCAGCUCAUUAAAUGUAGAUUUAUGUUUGAUUGUAAUUACUCCAUGAGGCUAAAUCCAUAAUGCAGGUAGUCCCGUUUUAUUUAAUAUCUUAUUGAUUAAUUAUUAAUAUUAAUAAUUAAUUAGUCUUUUGUCAUUUUUUUUAUGUUUAGUAGGGGUUUUAUUCGGCUUAAGAAUUUAAUCAAACUAGUAAGUUUUCUAGAGUUUGUUUUGCUUAAAAGGCUAGUCGUAGUUUUAUAUAAAUUUUGUUUUAUAUUUGUGUUGUAGGAUGAUUGAUUUUGGAUGUGAACAGAAAGUUUGAGAUUUUUCUUCAAUUAUCCACCUAAAUGGUUAAUUCAUGCGUGUAUUUUCUUUUAUAAUCCCCCUAUUUGGUAUAGUUUACACUUCUGCCUAAAUGAGUUUGUAUCAUAGCCCACGUUAUGCAGCUAACAACUGAUCAAGGAGGACAAGUUACAAGUCAUGGUUGAUAAUUGGAAUCUUAGAAAUGAAACUAAUACAAAUCAACGUCUUGAGGUCUUGGCAAAAAAGUGGCUAGAUUGACUAUCCCGCCACAAGAGAUGGUGGGUAACCUUUACGGCCAUGGACUAGCAGCACGAAGUGGCGGUCGCAAGUGCAUGAGGGUGGGGCAAUUGUGGGUCUAGUUGCGAGCCUAAUUAUGGAUAGAGUUGUAAAUGGAAAGCUCGAAGGGAGAGAGUUCCGGCAAUUGAGGAGCCGAUGUUGGUUAUGGGAUUGGUGAGCAACAUCGAGAGGACUGGGAAUUCAGAUUGUUGAACGAUGUUAAGAUGAAGUCCAACACAAAUUUAUCGUUCUUCGAGGAAACUAAUAUCAGGAUUCUCGAGAAGAAGUUUGAGAUACUUGACUUCGAUCAAUAUACUGACUUUGAAUAUCAAUUUUCAAUGAAAAUAAUAGCUAUGGCAUGCUCAGAGAUGCUUGAGGAUAAGACUCGUGAGUUAAGGUAAAUUAAAGAUUUUUUGUUACAUAUAUUGCAGUG
This is a long non-coding RNA of Olea europaea var. sylvestris, 4529 nucleotides long. RefSeq lists it as uncharacterized. The transcript is spliced from 3 exons. The record is from RefSeq and is a predicted model, not a curated record. Lineage: Eukaryota; Viridiplantae; Streptophyta; Magnoliopsida; Lamiales; Oleaceae.